This 478-nucleotide ribosomal RNA is filed under the name uncultured bacterium. Its description in RNAcentral is "partial 16S ribosomal RNA". It matches the Rfam family "Bacterial small subunit ribosomal RNA", at positions 28 to 523 of the family's 1533-position model. The record is from RNAcentral.
GACGAACGCUGGCGGCGUGCUUAACACAUGCAAGUCGAACGGUAAGGCCCUUCGGGGUACACGAGUGGCGAACGGGUGAGUAACACGUGGGUGAUCUGCCCUGCACUUCGGGAUAAGCCUGGGAAACUGGGUCCAAUACCGGAUAGGACCACUGCCUGCAUGGGUGGUGGUGGAAAGCUUUUGCGGUGUGGGAUGGGCCCGCGGCCUAUCGGCUUGUUGGUGGGGUGAUGGCCCACCAAGGCGACGACGGGUAGCCGGCCUGAGAGGGUGACCGGCCACACUGGGACUGAGAUUCGGCCCAGACUCCUGCGGGAGGCAGCAGUGGGGAAUAUUGCACACUGGGCGCAAGCCUGAUGCAGCGACGCCGCGUGAGGGAUGACGGCCUUCGGGUUGUAAACCUCUUUCAGCACCGACGAAGCGCAAGUGACGGUAGGUGCAGAAGAAGGACCGGCCCACUACGUGCCAGCCGCCGCAGUAA